RNAcentral lists this ribosomal RNA (740 nucleotides) under Enterobacter hormaechei. RNAcentral's name for it is "bacterial SSU rRNA". It matches the Rfam family "Bacterial small subunit ribosomal RNA", at positions 56 to 784 of the family's 1533-position model. Lineage: Bacteria; Pseudomonadati; Pseudomonadota; Gammaproteobacteria; Enterobacterales; Enterobacteriaceae. The record is from RNAcentral.
UGCAGUCGAACGGUAACAGGAAGCAGCUUGCUGCUUCGCUGACGAGUGGCGGACGGGUGAGUAAUGUCUGGGAAACUGCCUGAUGGAGGGGGAUAACUACUGGAAACGGUAGCUAAUACCGCAUAACGUCGCAAGACCAAAGAGGGGGACCUUCGGGCCUCUUGCCAUCGGAUGUGCCCAGAUGGGAUUAGCUAGUAGGUGGGGUAACGGCUCACCUAGGCGACGAUCCCUAGCUGGUCUGAGAGGAUGACCAGCCACACUGGAACUGAGACACGGUCCAGACUCCUACGGGAGGCAGCAGUGGGGAAUAUUGCACAAUGGGCGCAAGCCUGAUGCAGCCAUGCCGCGUGUAUGAAGAAGGCCUUCGGGUUGUAAAGUACUUUCAGCGGGGAGGAAGGYGUUGAGGUUAAUAACCUCAGCRAUUGACGUUACCCGCAGAAGAAGCACCGGCUAACUCCGUGCCAGCAGCCGCGGUAAUACGGAGGGUGCAAGCGUUAAUCGGAAUUACUGGGCGUAAAGCGCACGCAGGCGGUCUGUCAAGUCGGAUGUGAAAUCCCCGGGCUCAACCUGGGAACUGCAUUCGAAACUGGCAGGCUAGAGUCUUGUAGAGGGGGGUAGAAUUCCAGGUGUAGCGGUGAAAUGCGUAGAGAUCUGGAGGAAUACCGGUGGCGAAGGCGGCCCCCCUGGACAAAGACUGACGCUCAGGUGCGAAAGCGUGGGGAGCAAACAGGGAUUAGAUA